RNAcentral lists this non-coding RNA (724 nucleotides) under Silvanidae sp. KM-2017. Lineage: Eukaryota; Metazoa; Arthropoda; Insecta; Coleoptera; Silvanidae. The record is from RNAcentral.
AUAUUAUUUGAUUUAAUUUUAAUUUAUAUAUAAAUUUUUGUUUAGAUAAGGGGUUGGUAGUAAAUAGAAUUAAAUAUUAGGGAGAUCUAGAUUUAGUAAUAAUUUUUAGUACUAACAAAAAUUGUGCCAGCAGUUGCGGUUACACAAUUAGUGCAAUUAAAUGUUUUUGGUUGAGAUUAUCUUGUAUUUUAAAUUUAAAUGAGGAAAAAUUAGGUGAAAUUUUUUUUUUUUAUUAGGUUUAAUUUUAGAAGGAGAGGUCAAUAAAUUUAUUUAUAAACUAGGAUUAGAUACCCUAUUAUUAUGAACUAUAUUCAAUACCAGGUCAUUAUUAGUUAAGGUCUUGAAAAUUAAAGAAUUUGGCGGUGUUUUAGUCUGCUCAGAGGAACCUGUUGUGUAAUUGAUAUUCCACGAUAAAUUUUACUUUUUUUAUUAGUUUGUAUAUCGUCGUUAUUGAAUAUUCUUUUAGGAUAAAAUAUUCAAGAUUUCUUUUAGAAAGAAAAUCAGAUCAAGAUGCAGCUUAUAAAAAAGAAUUAAUGGGUUACAAUAAUUUUAUUUAAAUGGAUGAAAGUUUGAAAAAUUUUUUGAAGGUGGAUUUGAAAGUAAUUAUUUUUUUUUAAUUUUAAUGAUUAAGCUCUAAAACAUGUACAUAUUGCCCGUCGCUUUCGUUAUAAAAUGAAAUAAGUCGUAACAUAGUAGGUUUACUGGAAAGUGAGUCUAGAAAGAC